AUUUUAUCCAGUUUAAUUCACUAAUCAUGAGGAAAAGUUUAUAUGCAAGUGUAAUUACGUAUUGUUUUAUGGAAACAAUAUUGAAUACAGCUUACUUUUUAUGGAUAUAAUAUUGAAUACAGCUUAUGGCAGUGGCAUAUAUGUAAAUAAACAGAUUUAAAUUCAAUAUGUCCUUCAAAUAUUAUGUGCUGUUACUUACUUUGAGGCUAUUGUACUGCUAGAAGAAGAAGAAUGUUUUAGAUUCUUACCCAAAAGCUGUUCAAAAAUUAAAAGAUACCAAAUAUACUUCAGAUUUACAAACAGAAGUUAAGAAAAUUUGUCAACGACCAAAACGUAAAUGAAAAGCAAGGUCUUGCUUUAGUGUUAAGGCAAUAACUUGAUGAUGUUGAAAAUGAUAGUGUUUACCAGAUUAUUAAUCUUCAUAUUCACAAGAUAAUGAAGCAGCUAGAGUACUUGGUCAUAGUUAUCAAUCAGAUGCAGCGCUAAUACGUGACAAUUUUUUAGAUAACAGUUUUGAAGACGAUUUUCAGAAAAUAGAAAAAAUAAUUUUGUUUCAAAGCAAGCUAGAACAAGGAUUGAGCAUUCCAUUCUGAGCAUUCCACAGACUUUUAAUUUUAAUUAUUAAUUUUAAUUAUCAAUACUCAACAUAUACAACCAUUUGCUGAUAGAGGUUUUGAAUUUGCUGAUGAGGAUUUUGAACAAAAUUUUGUUCAGGCUGGUUGCUGCUGUUUCUUCCAAACGUGGGACUGCAUCAAUGCUGUGAAAUUUAUGCUAAGGACCAUGUUGACUAAUCAAGAUUUAGAAAAUUUAACUGGACAGGACAACCCCUAAACACCAAAUUCGGGAAUGCAAAUGCCAUGGAGUUUUAAGUAUGUAUUAAUAAUAUUCUAAGAGUCUAAAUAAUUCUUGUAUCCUAAGCGGAAUCUCCAUCGGAUGAAUCGGAAUUCCAAAUGAAUAUUUGAUGUUUUUUUACAUAAAUAUUUAAAUAUAUAAGUUAGGUAAGACUAACUUUAAGGGGAAAGAAUUUUUUUUUUAAUUCUUAUUUCCUUAAAGAUUAAGAGCAACUUAGAUUUCGACUGAAAAAGGAAGUGGAGGACAUGAAUAAAAAACCUAUGUUUAAAUGGCCAGCAGUGGAUAGCCAAUGCUGCAUUCCAGAUGACAUCGUUUGGAAGCUUGAAAAAAUGACUACAAAAACAGGAUGUGGCUACUAUUUAGAUGACAAAGACUUUAACAAAUUUAUUUUCUGAAGGAAAUAGAGAUUUUUAUAUUUAAACUAUUCAACUUCAUGAAAAUUCGGAUUUAGCAGGUUUUAAACUCUUUCGGUACCAAAUUUCAGCAUCAUUACAAGCACCCUAUAAGACGCUAUAGCAAGGAAUAUUUCUACACGCAGCUGAACGAGUGAACUUAGUGAGUGUGAUAUUCAAAAAUAAAUCUUUCACUAUAUUCAUGGGUCAAUUGAUAAAGAUGGUGGUCGUAUGGUGAACGGAUGGUGGUCGAUGGUUGAUAAAGAUGGUGGUCGAUGGUUGAUAAAGAUGGUGGUCGAUGGUUGAUAAAGAUGGUGGUCGUAAAGAACGAAAAGAAAGGAAGAAACUAACAAACAACGCUGAUUAGCAAUAAUACGGAUAAUGAAUCACCUUCUUCAAACGAAGAAUAAUCUUUUAAAAAUUUAUUUUUUGGUUGAAAAAAUUGUUAAAUAAGUUUAAAAAAUCUCUUGUUUUAUGAA
Long non-coding RNA from Hydra vulgaris (swiftwater hydra), 1723 nucleotides. RefSeq lists it as uncharacterized. Lineage: Eukaryota; Metazoa; Cnidaria; Hydrozoa; Anthoathecata; Hydridae. The record is from RefSeq and is a predicted model, not a curated record.